AUUGAACGCUGGCGGCAUGCCUUACACAUGCAAGUCGAACGGCAGCACGGGUGCUUGCACCUGGUGGCGAGUGGCGAACGGGUGAGUAAUACAUCGGAACGUACCUUAUCGUGGGGGAUAACGCAGCGAAAGCUGUGCUAAUACCGCAUACGCCCUGAGGGGGAAAGCGGGGGAUCGCAAGACCUCGCGCGAUUAGAGCGGCCGAUGCCUGAUUAGCUUGUUGGUGGGGUAAAAGCCCACCAAGGCGACGAUCAGUAGCUGGUCUGAGAGGACGAACAGCCACACUGGGACUGGGACACGGCCCAGACUCCUACGGGAGGCAGCAGUGGGGAAUUUUGGACAAUGGGGGCAACCCUGAUCCAGCAAUGCCGCGUGAGUGAAGAAGGCCUUCGGGUUGUAAAGCUCUUUUGUCAGGGAAGAAACACCGGCUCUAACACAGUCCGGGAAUGACGGUACCUGAAGAAUAAGCACCGGCUAACUACGUGCCAGCAGCCGCCGUAA
RNAcentral lists this ribosomal RNA (501 nucleotides) under uncultured bacterium. RNAcentral describes it as "partial 16S ribosomal RNA". It matches the Rfam family "Bacterial small subunit ribosomal RNA", at positions 29 to 523 of the family's 1533-position model. The record is from RNAcentral.